RNAcentral lists this transfer RNA (83 nucleotides) under Ferrovum sp. RNAcentral describes it as "tRNA-Leu". It matches the Rfam family "tRNA". Rfam says of the family: Transfer RNA (tRNA) molecules are approximately 80 nucleotides in length. Their secondary structure includes four short double-helical elements and three loops (D, anti-codon, and T loops). Lineage: Bacteria; Pseudomonadati; Pseudomonadota; Betaproteobacteria; Ferrovales; Ferrovaceae. The record is from RNAcentral.
GCGAGUGUGGUGGAAUUGGUAGACACGCUGGUCUUAGAAGCCAGUGCUUAGGCGUGAGAGUUCGAGUCUCUCCACUCGCACCA